RNAcentral lists this transfer RNA (82 nucleotides) under Porphyromonas sp. RNAcentral's name for it is "tRNA-Leu". It matches the Rfam family "tRNA". Rfam says of the family: Transfer RNA (tRNA) molecules are approximately 80 nucleotides in length. Their secondary structure includes four short double-helical elements and three loops (D, anti-codon, and T loops). The record is from RNAcentral. Lineage: Bacteria; Pseudomonadati; Bacteroidota; Bacteroidia; Bacteroidales; Porphyromonadaceae.
GCGGCUGUGGCGUAAUUGGUAGCCGCGCUAGACUUAGGAUCUAGUGGAGAAAUCCGUGGGGGUUCGAGUCCCUUCAGCCGCA